GCUAACUCCGCUCCCCCGCUGAAUGAGCAACAGCUCCCCGUUUCUGUCCAGGGAGGCCUAAGUACAGAGGGCCAGGCUGGGGAGCAGAAGAAUCAGCAGGAAGGGGCGGGUUGGGAGCCUCGGCCGCCCCCGGGGCCCAUCAGCUGAGCCGAGGUCCUAGGACAGGAGGCGGCGCUAGGUGCCAGAUCGCAGCCCAGGGUGUCGCUGGAUGGGCUGGCCCAGCGUUCCUUCAUGUGCUUGCUCUCUCCGGGGGCUCUCUAGAACUCAGGCGGACAAAGCGGACGCUGGCCACAUUGUUCAUUGAGGAGCCUGUAGAGGGGAGAGCAAGUGCUGCUCAAACCUGUUCCUCUCCAGGAAUUGGGGAGAGGUAGCCCGAAGGAUGCCCCACGCGCGGCGGAAGACGGGCUGGUUCCCGAAGCCCUGUAUGGUCCCUCUGAUAACCACCGCGGCGGCUGUUCCUCAUGCUGGAGGCUCAUUAGGGUUCCUGGGGCCAGUCCAAGAAAUUGCCAAGGACAAGACAGGCAGCCUCCGCCUGGAAACUCCGCGGAGCCCGCUCCCCUCAGAGGCCCUUCCUUCAGCGUGAGCGAGGGGGGAGCGCAGCGAGGUCACACGCGGUCCCCUUACUAGAUGGCUGUCAGUGUCUCAGGGUCCCGGCCUCUACUGAGCCCUGGGGUCUGCGAGAGCCCAUCUCACUCCUCUUCCCGAAACAGCCUUUCAAAUCCAGGCAAACCUUGGACUGCGAGUAACUUGUUCUGCGGGUGUUCCACAAGACAGGCCGGCU
Molecule: non-coding RNA, 781 nt
Organism: Puma concolor (puma)
Lineage: Eukaryota; Metazoa; Chordata; Mammalia; Carnivora; Felidae
Source: RefSeq, a predicted model, not a curated record